RNAcentral lists this ribosomal RNA (707 nucleotides) under Prionchulus sp. DGW_GPhi. RNAcentral describes it as "eukaryotic LSU rRNA". It matches the Rfam family "Eukaryotic large subunit ribosomal RNA", at positions 374 to 912 of the family's 3401-position model. Lineage: Eukaryota; Metazoa; Nematoda; Enoplea; Mononchida; Mononchidae. The record is from RNAcentral.
CUUUGAAGAGAGAGUUCAAGAGGGCGUGAAACCGUUUAGAAGUAAAGAGAUAAAGCUACGAGGUAGUUGCAAAAAUCAGCUAGUCUGAGGUCUUAGAUUGGUCGUCCGACGUUAAAGCGGGCGGCUGGUCGCGAUACGGCCGAAGGUUGGUGCACUUUUUGCGACGAGCAUCGCGACCGAAGCGACGCCCGGUAGAAGGGGACUUUGAAGACAGAGCCGAUGGUUCUGCGACUAGAGUACCUGGAGACCGGUGUAGCGUUUCGGAUACCCGAGUAGUCGUCGUAAGACUCGUGACAUCUCAUCGUUUGGUUGGUCGAAAUGGCCGUUCUUGCUUGCAGGAGCGGUCGCCACCUGAUUUAACUUUGGGCUGGAUCGAGAGACUACGAAGGAUCGGCGAUGUCCGUGGUGGCCACUUAUCUCACCCGUCUUGAAACACGGACCAAGGAGUCUAACAUGUGCGCGAGUUAUUGGGUGGUAAACCCAAAGGCGAAAUAAAAGUAAAGACUGCUUACGCAGUAUUAGAUACGAUCCUGGACUUCGGUCUAGGCGGAGUAUCGUCCCAUCUAUGCGGUUCGUCCGUUGGGUGGAGAAAGAGCGUAAAUGUUGGGACCCGAAAGAUGGUGAACUAUGCUCGAGCAGAACGAAGCCAGAGGAAACUCUGGUGGAGGUUCGUAGCGGUUCUGACGUGCAAAUCGAUCGUCAGACCU